AGGAAGUUCUGGCCAAGCAGAUGUCAGUGCAAGUCCUCUGAGUGGGGCUUUGGGAAAGCUUUUAUUGAUCUGUUAAAAGAGUCCAGGUUCAGCACUUUCCUCUCUUGUUCCUGUACCCUUUCACCCAUUUCCUUCACAGAGAACAAGCUCCAAGUCUGAAAUCUCAGGAAAAAGGGACACUCAUGGAGACAAAGGCCUGGGAGGAAGGACUUGGCAAGACAUACAGCAAGUUUCCAAAGGACAUCAAAGCAAGCGAGUAGUAAAAAGUCC
Molecule: long non-coding RNA, 270 nt
Filed under: Chinchilla lanigera (long-tailed chinchilla)
Lineage: Eukaryota; Metazoa; Chordata; Mammalia; Rodentia; Chinchillidae
Description: lncRNA (ENSCLAG00000023253.1)
Source: RNAcentral